AUACGUAGGGGGCGAGCGUUGUCCGGAAUGAUUGGGCGUAAAGGGCGCGUAGGCGGCCCGGUAAGUCUGGAGUGAAAGUCCUGUUUUUAAGAUGGGAAUUGCUUUGGAUACUGUCGGGCUUGAGUGCAGGAGAGGUAAGUGGAAUUCCCAGUGUAGCGGUGAAAUGCGUAGAGAUUGGGAGGAACACCAGUGGCGAAGGAGACUUACUGGACUGUAACUGACGCUGAGGCGCGAAAGUGUGGGGAGCAAACAGGAUUAGAUACCCUGGUAGUCCACACUGUAAACGAUGAAUGCUAGGUGUAGGGGGUAUCGACCCCUUCUGUGCCGCAGUCAACACAAUAAGCAUUCCGCCUGGGGAGUACGGCCGCAAGGUUGAAACUCAAAGGAAUUGACGGGG
This 397-nucleotide ribosomal RNA is filed under the name uncultured bacterium. Its description in RNAcentral is "partial 16S ribosomal RNA". It matches the Rfam family "Bacterial small subunit ribosomal RNA", at positions 523 to 918 of the family's 1533-position model. The record is from RNAcentral.